CUUUUGGUGUGAAGCGGGCUUCUCUUCUUUUUGAAGAUGUGGGCGUGCGUCUGUGUGUUUGAUGGCGGGACACAGAGGGUUGGAGCUGGGGAAACACUUCAGGAUGAAAAGUAUUGUUCCUGAUGCGUCUGUGAGGGUGUUGCCAAAGGAGAUUAACAUAUGACUCAGUGGACUGGAAAGGCAGACCCACCCUUAAUCUGUCUGGGCACAAUCUAAUCAGCUACCAGCAUUGCCAGAAUAAAUGCAGGCAGAAGAAUAUGAAAAGACCAGACUGGCUUAGCCUCCCAGGCUACAUCUUUCUCCUGUGCUGGAUGCUUCCUGCCCUCGAACAUCAGACUCCAAGUUCUUCAGCUUUGGGACUUGGACUGGCUUCCUUGCUCCUCAGUUUGCAGAUGGCCUAUUGUGGGACCUAUUACUCCUUAAUAAAUUCCCCUUUAUAUAUACAUCUAUCCUAUUAGUUAUGUCCCUCUAAGGAACCCUGACUAAUACAUCAACUCUG
Molecule: long non-coding RNA, 499 nt
Filed under: Homo sapiens (human)
Lineage: Eukaryota; Metazoa; Chordata; Mammalia; Primates; Hominidae
Description: HSALNT0334171
Source: RNAcentral